Molecule: ribosomal RNA, 407 nt
Filed under: uncultured bacterium
Lineage: Bacteria
Description: partial 16S ribosomal RNA
Rfam family: Bacterial small subunit ribosomal RNA
Source: RNAcentral
GACGAACGCUGGCGGCGUGCCUAAUACAUGCAAGUAGGACGCGGUUGCGAACGGGUGAGUAACGCGUAGGUAACUACCUAUUAGAGGGGGUUAACUCUUGGACACGAUAGCUAAAACCGCAUACUUGUCGACGGACCUGCGUUGUAUUGGCUAGUAGGUCGGGUAAUGGCCUACCUAGGCAACGAUGCAUAGCCGGCCUAGUAGGGUGAUGGGGCAGACUGGGACUGAGACAAGGCACAGACUCCUACGGGAGGCAGCAGUAGGGAAUCUGUGGGAAGUGGGGGAACCCUGGCAGAGCAACGCCACGUGAGUGAAGAAGGUUUUGGGAGCUUAAAGCUCUGUUGUUAAGGUAGCGGUAGGUAACCAGAAAGGGACGGCUAACUACGUGCCAGCAGCCGCGGUAAUUC